GGGAUGAGGAAUGUGGCUCCCUCCAGCAGCUGUUGGACUCUCCCUUUCUACUCUGGCUGUCUUAAGCAAAAGGACGCCCAGUCACAUAACCAAGUGGGCUACCAAUAUACCCGCAGCAGCUGUCGGGAACACUCCAUAGACACCUUGACAAGCUACAGGAGGAUGGCAGCUGGUUGUCCCUGGCUCCUGAUGGUGCAGUCUCAGCCAGAGCUCUUUGAAACAGAGUGUACUGAACUUUUUGCUAUCACAAGUCUCAAAGAACUAGUGGCCUUGCUGAGCUGGUAAAGCGAGGAACACAGCAGCAGCAGAGACAGCAGAAGGGUGGCGGUGAUGGCAGAGGCAGCAGAACCCCAGUGGCAGUAACAACUCAGCCAUCAGCAGGUCGUGGUGUGAAUGCAGCAGAAGCAGCAGCUCCACACUGUGCAGUGCCCAGGUCAAGAUGUAAGAACUCUCAGCUCCUUCUCCAGCACCAUGUCUGCCUUGCUUCCUGCCAUGAUG
This is a non-coding RNA of Peromyscus maniculatus bairdii (prairie deer mouse), 498 nucleotides long. The record is from RefSeq and is a predicted model, not a curated record. Lineage: Eukaryota; Metazoa; Chordata; Mammalia; Rodentia; Cricetidae.